Molecule: long non-coding RNA, 638 nt
Organism: Esox lucius (northern pike)
Lineage: Eukaryota; Metazoa; Chordata; Actinopteri; Esociformes; Esocidae
Exons: 3
Source: RefSeq, a predicted model, not a curated record
UGUUUUUUUUUUGUGACCACAGCAAUACAUCCAGCAGCAUCUAGUUUAGAGGCAGGCCAAUUGUGGAAUGCAGGGUGCUAUAUGCUGCUGGCAAUUUAUUAACAAAACAGAAAAACUCAAGAAAAUAGCAAGCUACAGCCUGCUACAGUAAAAAUAAAACAGUAUGAUGGUUGACAAGUGACUGCCACAUUGGCCACCUUUGAUGCUGAAUCUAGGGAAAGAAACGGACAGAGGUGAAUGGUGCAGUGUUGUGCAGUGGCUGUGGCUAAACAGCGGUUCAGCCUCUUCACAAGGCUGGUCACGGCACACAUGAACACAGACCCGGGCACCCUGGAAUCGCUCCGGUUUUCACAUCGUCCUGGCAGAGCCACAGAUGACACAAUCUCUUUUUCACUUCACUCCCCCCUCUGGACAGGAGGAAUACAUAGUAUGUUGUUCAUAGACCACAGCGCCGCGCUAACGACAAAGUCUCUUCCAAGCUCAUCACUAUGCUCAUGACCCUGGGACUCGAUGCCUCCGUCCGCCACCAGGUACUGGACUUCCUGACAGGCUCCUCAGGUGGUAAGUGCAGGCAAUCCACCCCCCAAGUUCGGACCUCCACCCCCCAAGUUCGGACCUCCACCCCCCAAGUUCGGACC